RNAcentral lists this ribosomal RNA (253 nucleotides) under uncultured bacterium. Its description in RNAcentral is "partial 16S ribosomal RNA". It matches the Rfam family "Bacterial small subunit ribosomal RNA", at positions 524 to 776 of the family's 1533-position model. The record is from RNAcentral.
UACGAAGGGUGCUAGCGUUGUUCGGAAUUACUGGGCGUAAAGCGCGCGCAGGCGGUCCUGCAAGUUGGGAGUGAAAUCCCCAGGCUCAACCUGGGAAUUGCUCUUGAUACUACAGGGCUGGAGUAUGGGAGAGGAUAGCGGAAUUCCGAAUGUAGAGGUGAAAUUCGUAGAUAUUCGGAGGAACACCAGUGGCGGAGGCGGCUAUCUGGCCCAUUACUGACGCUGAGGCGCGAAAGCGUGGGGAUCAAACAGG